This is a long non-coding RNA of Ruditapes philippinarum (Manila clam), 8392 nucleotides long. RefSeq lists it as uncharacterized. The record is from RefSeq and is a predicted model, not a curated record. The transcript is spliced from 6 exons. Lineage: Eukaryota; Metazoa; Mollusca; Bivalvia; Venerida; Veneridae.
AGAAGAUUCAAGUUCAAGUAGUUCUGACUCCAGCUCUGAAGAUGAAGCCCCUAAAAAGGCUACACCUGUUAAACCAGUAACUCCCAAAGUUGCUGCAAAACCAGUAACACCAAAAGCAGUUGCUAAAGAUUCAAGUUCCAGUAGUUCAGACUCUAGUUCCAGGGAUUUUUUUUGUCUUAUUUUAUAGUCGAUAUUCGGUCAUUCCCAAUCAUUUUCAUAGUAUAUUAUUUUCCUAAUCCACAGGAAAAAAUUCCCAAUUGAAAGUUACAAAAUAAAAAUAUUUAAAAACAAAUUCUAAAAUCUUGGAAAAUAAGGACUUUUUCACUGUUAUGGUGUUUAAUAGUUUGAAGAUGCCUUCCUAGACAGUUAUUCUUUGCAUUCAUUUAAUCACUGCAAAAUUUAAGUCAUGCAAUUUUUCCCAAAUUUUAACAAAUUAUCGCUGAAAUUCCCAAUUCCAUGGGUAUGGCUCAUGUUCCCAUAAUCCUGGUAAAAAACACUAGAGUUCAGAAGAUGAAGCCCCUAAAAAAGCUGCAUCUUCAUCUUCAAAUAAACAACAAUCCCCGGUGUAUCAAAAUAAAAAUGUUAGGACUCUUACUCCAAAAAUUCACCAGGGUUUGUACAGUCUUAAAAAGUGCUUAAAUUUGAGUCUCUUUCUUAAAAAGUGCUUAAAAAUGUAAAAAAGUGCUUAAAAGUCCUUGAAUUUGAUUACUCUUUUGAAAAGUGCUUAAAAAGUGCUUAAAUUUGCUAAAAUGUGCUUGAAAAUAUUUGAAUCACAGAAUUACAUAGUUUUGAUAAAAAUCAACGGUUAACAAAAUAAAAAAAAAGAUCCAAUUUAGUAUCAAAAUCAAUGAAAUGUUUACUCAAGGUAACAGUAAGUGGACAAAUUGCAGUUGUUUUGAACUAAUCUGUAUUUGAUGCACCCUUUGUUGUUCUUGUAUAAUGUCAGAAAAUGUGUAUUCAACAAAAAAUGGUGAACAAACUAUCCAUCAUAGGUUGAAGAUUGUGUCGGUAUAUGUGCAACAAAUGUGCUGGAAAAAUGGGAAAACGUGCUUAAAUAGUGCUUGAAAAGUCCUUGAAUUUUGGCAUUUGAUGUCUGUACGAACCCUGUAAUCACAGAUAAAUAAAAAGGACAACUCAAGUAGUUAAGUGACUCUAGCUCAGAAUCAGACGAUGAAAAUACAAAGACAGUGAAUACCUCUAAAGUAAAUAAAUCCCAAAGUGUUCCAAAUAAAUCACAAAGUAAAUCAGACUCUAGUUCAGACAGUGACUCCUCAGACUCUGACAAUGAAAAAUCUAAAUCUGUUUCAAAAUCACCUGGUUUAACACCAGUUAUUGGUAAAACUAAAGCGGGGAAACAAAAUGGUCCAGUAACUGCUACACAAUAUUCCAAGGUAAACGGGGAUGCUGAAGAGAGUUCUGAUGAUUCAGAAGUUAGCUCAGGCUCACGUGAAGUUAACUCUAAUAACAAGAAUAUUACCAGUCAGAGUAACAGUAAAACACAGAGAAGAAGGAGCAGUCCUUUUAGACGUGUAAGGGAGGAGCAAGUUGAAGUAGAUGAAAGUUUGAAGGAUAAUUCAUUUACUGCGAAGGUGCUGAGCUCUUCACUGGCAGGCCAAAAACCAUUCCAAUAUCUGUUCCCAUGCCAACAGGGGUUCCAGCCCCGUCUCCUCAGGAUGUUGCUUUUGCUAAUCAGAUGUUGAAAAAUGCCUACCCCCACCAAGUCACCAGAUGGCUGAGCAGUUUUUCCAUGCUGCAAGUUACGGUCCACCACCCCCUGUGACUAGCAUGCAGACAGUAUCCCAGUAAUAGUCUACUCUAGGCAAGACAGGAUAAAAUACCUCAGACAUUUAAAAUCCAGGGAUGAUGUGGACUGAAAAAUAUCUUAAAUUUCAGCUGAAAAAAGCAUAUAUAUUUUGAAAUUGAUGGAGAUCAUAUUGAAAGAGUUAUUUUUAAGUAAGCUGUGAUUUUUACAAGCAUGUUGCCUUAUUAUAUAGUGACUUGUCCAGGGAUGAUGUGGACUGAAAAAUAUCUUAAAUGUCAGCUGAAUAAAGCAUAUACAAAUGUAUAUUGAAAUUCAUGGAGAUCAUAUAAUAUAUAUUAUAUUAACACUGUUAACAUGCCUCAGGUUUUAAAGGAAAAAAAAAAGUUUUAAGUAUUCAUUUUAGUAUUUAUUUUCUUUACAAAGGCCAUAAAACAUUGUCUUUAAAGGGACUCCACUGAGGUUUAAAAGCCUUAAAACAUAACAUUUAAAUUUUUUACAUAAAUGAGCUGUGACACUUUAAACAGAUAUAUAUGCAAAGAUAGGUAAGAAAUAUACUUUGAAAUAAAUUGAAAGUCGUAUUUUUAUGCUUUUCAUAGUCCAAUUUGAGUAAAAAGCGUUUAAACGCUUUUCAUUUUGGGUCAUUUUUUCACAAUUUGAAUAAUUAUUCUGGAAAAACAAAGUGCGCGAAUGAUCUGAAAUUUUGCACAAAGAUUAGUGGUAUAAACCUACAUCAACUGGCACAUUUAUCUGGAAAAAAUAUUUUCAGUCCCAUCAUGUCAAACAACCUCAGUGGAGUUCCUUUAAGCAGUUGAAGUGAUAUUUCAUUGAUAAGAAUUUUAAAAAAGAAAAAUAAAAAGUAUUAUUUAUAAAUUUUCACAUAUAUUAAUUAUUAAAACUCAAAAGAUCUUUUCUUGUAUGCAAGAUUUCACUUCAAUUUUUACUAUUUUAUAUGCAUGUUGCAUAUUAAAGUGUAGGUAAAGCUUUUGCCAUGACUUAAAGUUACAGUGCUUGUGUUUUUACCAACUGGGUUGUUACAGAAAAGUGAUCUUUAAUUCCUAGGUUGUAAAUUUUGUUUAAAUGUCUAUUAUUUUUAUUUUGUGUUUUUUUUUAGAAACUUAAAACUUAACAGAAAUGUUAAUGAAAGUUUGUUAUGAAACGUUUAAGUGUUUUUUCAUUGCUUUAUAUAACCUAGUAUUAAGCAGUUAUUAAUGUUUGUAAAGGUUUCCUUGAUUUGUGAAAAUACAAAGUUUUUUGUUUUUAACUGUUGUUUUUUCCUCUCUCAUCUUAUUUUAUCUUAAGUAUCAAAAUACAUACAACUAUUAUAAUGCACCAACCCCAUUUUUGAAAAAAAAAACACAUGUGUUUUCUGAUUUUAAAUAUGCAAGUUAUCUUGUGACAGCUGCAUGCAUUCAAGUGCAAUCAUAUUUUUAAUACACAAGCUUAGUUAUAUUGAUGUUUAUUUUUUUUUCCCAAAGUUGCGUUGAAGGAAAAGCUUUCAUGUAAGGAAGGUUUUUGUUUUCAUUGACGCAUCAUUCAUGCUAUACUGAAACUUCCUGAAUUAACUUUUAUGUUUUAUUUUCUAUAUUGAAACAUUGUUAUUUUGUUUUUGUUUUCAUUCAUAUCAAUAUAUAUAGUUUUUCCUUUUGUUUUUGAGUCAUAUAUAAGAAUAUUAUACAUAUAAAAUGUGUUUGAACACUCAUUGGCUAAAUAGGAAAUAUAAAGAAAAAUAAUAAAAAAGAAUGUGAUAAUGGGUCAUAGUAUGGCAAGUUAUUUUACACCACUAUCACUUUCUCUACUUGUAAUAGGGUUAGUAGGUGAACAGCAUGGAUCCUGAUCAGACUGUGCGGAUGAACAGACUGGUCUGGAUCCAUGCUGGUCACAAACGCACUAUGUUGGUUUUGUCAUGGCGCGGCUCAAAUUUGAUUCACAUCUGAUUGGAUUUAUGAACGUUUUGUGCCAAAGUUGAGAGAAAUAGCACAAAUUUUCAAUAAUAAAAAGCUCCCAGAACAAUAAAUAAAAAAAUAUGUGUUUGUAGCUUAAAACAAUUGUUAAUUCCUUGUAGAUAUUUUAACCUUUUGCCUUCUGGUGGCAACGGAUUCUACCCAUGUAACCAACAUCAUGAUGUUGGAACUCAGUUCCCUCAAAUAAUUUGUAUAUUUGACCUGGAACAUAAUUUUCAUUGAACUGUUUUUACUAUUUUACAAGUAACAGCCUUGAUCUAUUUCUUAAGAUGAGAUUAUUGGAAAAAAUAAGCAAAUUACACCUAGAAUGUUUAUAUGUCAUAUGCUUAAAAAGUUUAGGUUGUAAAGAGAAUCUGCACUGUUUAUGAAAAUUUUCCAGAUAAAAGUUAGAAUCUUAAAACAGUGUUAUCAAUUUCGAAAAUACUUUCAUUUUUUUUCCUCCAUUUUAUGUCUAUAAAACGAAGUCAUUGGCAGUUGAGUUUGUUUGUCGAAAUUUUGUGCCAAUUUUCUAGUUGUGCUGUUCGAGUUUGUUUGUCAAAUUUUGUGCCAUUUUUCCAUGUAUGAAAUAGGGAUAUUAAAUUUUUUAGUGUUGAUAAAUAUGUUUCAUUUACACACAUGAUGUUAGCAGUACUUGGGUUUUUAGACUGAAAUCCUUAACAUUUGAAUGAACCAAGUACUGAGUGUAAGAUAACUUUAUGUAUAUAUUUUAUGAUGAUCUAGACAGAAAACUGAACCAUUUGUGUAUAAAUGAAACAGAUUUUAAAUUGGAAGCUGAUACUGUUUAUAGCUGGAUACCGGAUUAAGGCUGAAAAAGAUGUCAAAGGAUAAACAAUUUUAGGACUAGGUACCAAACUUGUAAUGAAUUUGGAAAAGAUUCUAGCAUUGUAAAUAUAAAUUUGAAACAAUGACUUAUAAAUAUAAACUUUCAAACAAUGACUUAUGUUUAUAGAACUUAAAAAUUAAAUUUGACUGGUAUGAAAUCUUGACUUAUUUAGGAAUGUUACUAGAAUUAUGGAGAUAUAUGAUGGUAUGGUACCAAGCUUUGGAGUGAUAAAGGGUACCAGAGUUUCAAGUAAAUGUUUGGUGACAAACCUAGUGUUAAGGAAAGGGUACCAGAGUUUGUUAAAAAGAAUCAAGUCUUAAAACUAAAUGAUUAUGUCUGUGACAGAUAUGAGAUUUUGCUGCUGUUUUCAGUAGUAACUUUUAUCUUUUACACAUGUUAACUGUUACGUUGUUUUUUUUUUUAAAACCAUACUCAGCAAUAAGGUUUUAUAAUUGCACAAGAACAUGUUAGUACAUGUAUUAUACUUGAUUUAAACAAAAUAUACAGCAAUGUAAAUUUGCAUGGAAAAAGCUUUAUUACAUAGUGUGUUUCUAUAUUAUAAUCGUGCUUGAUUUUUGAAAAGAAUACAUAAUGCAGUAGGGAAUUGAAAUCUUGAUUAAAAAGAAAAAGUAAGAAAUUAGCUUAUUUAUUUUUUAAUUAUUAUUUUUUUUUGUAUCAUGCAGAGCUAAAUUGAUCACUGAAUGUAUUAUUGUCUGAUUAUAUGGUUUAAAAGAUUAUGAUUAAAAGUGAAAACUGGAAAUGAAAAUGAAGAGAUUUUUUUAUCCGUGAUUAUGUAUAAAUUGGCCCUGUUUACUCUUGUGACUUGUCAAGCCACUUUUUUUUCAACUUCCUUUUACCCAAUAUUUUAAGGAUUAACAUUUUGUACAGAUGCCAGUUUUUAUUUAAGGAAAUCAUAUACCGUAUAUGGUCAUUGACGGAAGGGACUACCACCAUGAAUGGAGCCUGUGGUUUGAAUUGUGACUUGAUAAAGGGAAAAAAAUAAAGGAAUAAUCAGGAAUGUCCAAUGCGCUUAUUUUUUUAAUGACCGCAGUUUUACGGUUGUCUUAAGCAUUUCAUUGGAAUGCAUUAUAUUUCCUUAGCAACAUCUAAGUUUUGUAGGUCAGUGCACAGUCCAACCAAGUCUGCAAUUUUACAAUUAAUUUUGCUGUUUUUAAAUAUCACGCAAUAAUUGUAGACAGGGCCAAAUGAAUUAGUCAGUUAAUUUUUUAAUGGAAGGAAGGUGAUAUUAUUUGCCUUUGCUGUAGUCAUAGAUUUGCUGGUGUGAACAUUUCAAACGUUAAAUUCAGGGUAGCAUUGGGACUAGUUGAUUUAUGUUAGACCUCGUUAAAGUAACUCUUGCCAUUUUGAUUUUAGCACUUGAUUUUAUUAGUCAUUUUUAUGUUGAUUUUUACUUUGAUAACUUUUGUUUUAGAUGGUUUAUAAAGACUAUUCCAUUAUCUUUUGGUGUUUGUAGUAAAAAAUAAGAUAAGAAAUGGUUAAAAUUCAAUUGAAGAUUUUUCGGGGGAGGGGGUGUUUGUGUAGGUGGUUGGGUUAAGGUUGGGAAGGUGGGUGGGAGUGUUUUCUUAAUAAAGUCAUAAUGGAAUCGUCUUUGUAAACAUCAUAGGUAGUUGUUUUUAGUAUUUUAUUUAUAUGUAAUCAUUUGUAAAUUAAGGGAUUUUGAAGCAUUUCAGUAAUAAUUUUUGAUUCAUUGUAUAAUUAUGUUUUCCUGUAAAUCUCCUCUUUAUUUGACAAUCUGUUGGAUAAUUUUGUUGAAAUGCAGUGCUUAUAUAACUAUUUGGCGAGGGAAAUUUAUGUUUUACUUAUUGAAAUCUUAAAUCAUGUUCAUUAUCUGUAAUUAUUUUGUGACUACACAUAGUUGCAUGUGACUUAUUAAGGUUGUGAUUAGAAAGUUGCCCUUUCUUUAACAUGUGAAACUACAAAUUAUAUGUGCUAAGACAGUUGCCCUUUCUUUAACAUGUGGAACUACAAAUUAUAUGUGCUAAGACAGUUGUCCCUUCUUUAACAUGUGGAACUACAAAUUAUAUGUGCUAAGACAGUUGCCCUUUCUUUAACAUGUGGAACUACAAAUUAUAUGUGCUAAGACAGUUGCCCUUUCUUUAACAUGUGGAACUACAAAUUAUAUGUGCUAAGACAGUUGCCCUUUCUUUAGCAUGUGGAACUACAAAUUAUAUGUGCUAAGACAGUUGUCCCUUCUUUAACAUGUGGAACUACAAAUUAUAUGUGCUAAGACAGUUGCCCUUUCUUUAACAUGUGGAACUACAAAUUAUAUGUGCUAAGACAGUUGCCCUUUCUUUAACAUGUGGAACUACAAAUUAUAUGUGCUAAGACAGUUGCCCUUUCUUUAACAUGUGGCACUACAAAUUAUAUGUGCUAAGACAGUUGUCCCUUCUUUAACAUGUGGAACUACAAAUUAUAUGUGCUAAGACAGUUGCCCUUUCUUUAACAUGUGGAACUACAAAUUAUAUGUGCUAAGACAGUUGCCCUUUCUUUAACAUGUGGAACUACAAAUUAUACAUGUAUGUGCUAAGAAAAAUCAUCUGUGAAAUCACCUGUUGCCAAAAGAAAAAAAGUGUUGUUGAAUUUUUUUUUUUAUCGUAAUGAUGACCAGUCAGUUAGUACAUACUGGACACAUAGACUCCUCAAAAUUUACAAAUAUUUUCAACAUUUAUUAAUAAACAUAUAACCUUAUUUAUAACUUUGAUUGUAUAAUUCAGGUUUGUGAAAAAAUGGUUAUUUGUAUGAACAAUUGUUAUUAGAGUGAAACAAAUGAGCCGCGUCAUGACAAAACCAACAUAAUGGAUUUGCGACCAGCAUGGAUCCAGACCAGACUGCGCAUCUGUGCAGUCUGAUCAGGAUCCAUGCUGUUUGCUUACCUACUCUAUUACAAGUGGAGAAACUGACAGUGAACAGCAUGGAUCCUGAUCAGACUGCGCGGAUGCGCAUGCUGGUCUGGAUCCAUGCUGGUCGCAAACCCAUUAUGUUGGUUUUGUCAUGACACGGCUCAAAUUAUUAUUAAGGUUGAAUUGUGUGUAAUGCACUAAGGUAAUACUUAAAGGAAGAUUAUCCAUAUAUUUAGAUUUAUAACUUGAAUGGAGAUAAUCAAGGUAUUAAGAUUUUUUUACCUGAAGGGAAAUAAUCAAGGUAUUAAGAUUUUUAACGUAAAGGGAGAUAAUCAAGGUAAUAAGAGAAUCCAAAACCUUUUAUGAUUUUGGAAGCAACACAUUUAGUUAUAGGUGAUAAUGAAAUUUAAUAUACAAUGUACUUAUAACUUAUAAGUCCCAUAAUUUUGCCAUUUUAUGAAUUUAAUAAGCUUCCUAUAUUUUUCAUCAUGUCUUAAAACAAUUAAUGUUCAAUGUAUAAUUACGAACUUCUGAAUUCCGGAAACUUCCAAAUUCUGAACUUUUUGGCUAGUCCCACAGGUGUUCGGUUUUCAGAAGUUACACUGUAACACUUAUUAAAUUAAGAAGGACCUAACCUGUUACUGCACUAAGGUGACUAAUAUUCUUUUCCUCAUUAAAUAUAACUGAAAUUUGAAGUCACAUUUUCAUGUUUAAUAGUUAUUCAAGUUACUAGUGGAAUGUAGCCUAAAUGAGGUUAAUAUGACCAGAGAGCAUAAUGUCACUUUAAAAAUAUAUUUUACAUUACCUUCAAACUAUAGCAUAAUGUCACUUUAAAAAUAUAUUUUACUAAUAGUGUUUAUUUUUCCAUUAUUGUCUUUUACUCAGAUUUGCAUAAUAUUGAAUAAAAGUUGUUAUGUACUUGUCAAGCUGUUUGCCAUAUGAUUUGUAAUUGUUCCAUAUUUUAUUAAAACAACUAAACAGAUAA